AUAAGCUAAAUUUAUUCAUACUUGUUUCAGGUGCAGUUAUUUAUAUUAUGUUAAAAUGUAUUUAUUUUACAACACACAUCCUAACUCGAGUGAACCUUUAAUGCCAGAAACGGGGAUUAAUAACGGAGAGGAGAAUGGCUACCAGGAUGUGCUUUUUGGGAUACAUAUCAAUAAAAAUUUAACUUUUACCUACAUACAAAAUAGUGAAUUGUAUGAAAGUCUAGGAUUCCUGUAUUAUAAUAUACUUCACAAUUGGACCAAUUAAAAGUUUUCUUAUUUCAUAGAUAUUAAUGAUAAAUUCUGAAUACAAAGUGAAAAUUUUUUUUAUGUGUAAUUGCUGCUAUCUUGAAAUACUUCCAUAAUAUAUUGACUUAAUAUAUUAAGUUAAUAUAUUAUGGAAAUAUUUCAGUAU
This 412-nucleotide long non-coding RNA is filed under the name Androctonus crassicauda. The record is from RNAcentral. Lineage: Eukaryota; Metazoa; Arthropoda; Arachnida; Scorpiones; Buthidae.